RNAcentral lists this ribosomal RNA (406 nucleotides) under uncultured bacterium. Its description in RNAcentral is "partial 16S ribosomal RNA". It matches the Rfam family "Bacterial small subunit ribosomal RNA", at positions 30 to 526 of the family's 1533-position model. The record is from RNAcentral.
AUUGAACGCUGGCGGCAGGCUUAACACAUGCAAGUCGAGCGAGCGGCGGACGGGUGAGUAAUGUCUGGGAAACUGCCUGAUGGAGGGGGAUAACUACUGGAAACGGUAGCUAAUACCGCAUACCAUCAGAUGUGCCCAUAUGGGAUUAGCUAGUAGGUGGGGUAAUGGCUCACCUAGGCGACGAUCCCUAGCUGGUCUGAGAGGACGACCAGCCACACUGGGACUGAGACACGGUCCAGACUCCUACGGGAGGCAGCAGUGGGGAAUAUUGGACAAUGGGCGAAAGCCUGAUGCAGCCAUGCCGCGUGUGUGAAGAAGGACUUCGGGUUGUAAAGCACUUGUAGCAGGGAGGCGUUAUUCGCAGAAGAAGCACCGGCUAACUCCGUGCCAGCAGCCGCGGUAAUUC